UACGAGGGGGGCAAAUGUUGUUCGGAAUCACUGGGCGUAAAGGGAGCGUAGGCGGGCUUCUAAGUUAGAUGUUUAAUCCCGGGGCCCAACCCCGGACAGGCACCUAAAACUGGAAGUCUUGAAUAGUGGAGAGGACGGCGGAAUUGGGGGUGUAGCGGUGGAAUGCGUAGAGAUCCCCAAGAACACCAGUGGCGAAGGCGGCUCACUGGCCCGAUACUGACGCUGAGGCACGAAAGCGUGGGGAGCAAACAGG
This 253-nucleotide ribosomal RNA is filed under the name uncultured bacterium. Its description in RNAcentral is "partial 16S ribosomal RNA". It matches the Rfam family "Bacterial small subunit ribosomal RNA", at positions 524 to 776 of the family's 1533-position model. The record is from RNAcentral.